CCUAACACAUGCAAGUCGAACGGUAACAGGAAACAGCUUGCUGUUUCGCUGACGAGUGGCGGACGGGUGAGUAAUGUCUGGGAAACUGCCUGAUGGAGGGGGAUAACUACUGGAAACGGUAGCUAAUACCGCAUAACGUCGCAAGACCAAAGAGGGGGACCUUCGGGCCUCUUGCCAUCAGAUGUGCCCAGAUGGGAUUAGCUAGUAGGUGGGGUAACGGCUCACCUAGGCGACGAUCCCUAGCUGGUCUGAGAGGAUGACCAGCCACACUGGAACUGAGACACGGUCCAGACUCCUACGGGAGGCAGCAGUGGGGAAUAUUGCACAAUGGGCGCAAGCCUGAUGCAGCCAUGCCGCGUGUAUGAAGAAGGCCUUCGGGUUGUAAAGUACUUUCAGCGGGGAGGAAGGGAGUAAAGUUAAUACCUUUGCUCAUUGACGUUACCCGCAGAAGAAGCACCGGCUAACUCCGUGCCAGCAGCCGCGGUAAUACGGAGGGUGCAAGCGUUAAUCGGAAUUACUGGGCGUAAAGCGCACGCAGGCGGUUUGUUAAGUCAGAUGUGAAAUCCCCGGGCUCAACCUGGGAACUGCAUCUGAUACUGGCAAGCUUGAGUCUCGUAGAGGGGGGUAGAAUUCCAGGUGUAGCGGUGAAAUGCGUAGAGAUCUGGAGGAAUACCGGUGGCGAAGGCG
This 687-nucleotide ribosomal RNA is filed under the name uncultured bacterium. RNAcentral's name for it is "bacterial SSU rRNA". It matches the Rfam family "Bacterial small subunit ribosomal RNA", at positions 47 to 723 of the family's 1533-position model. The record is from RNAcentral.